This is an RNA transcript of Cornus florida, 1349 nucleotides long. RefSeq lists it as uncharacterized. The transcript has 3 exons. The record is from RefSeq and is a predicted model, not a curated record. Lineage: Eukaryota; Viridiplantae; Streptophyta; Magnoliopsida; Cornales; Cornaceae.
AGCCGCGUCUUCUGCUAUCUGCCCCCUAUUACUUUCUCUCUCUACAAUUCCACAACUUUUUCCCCAGAAACAAACAAACCCUUCCCUGUUGCAACUCUCCACAUGUAAUAAAAGCCUCUCCAACCAAACGGCGCACGGAUAAAGCUUGACGGAUAACAUUGAGAAAUCCUGUCAGCAUAGUUUAUCCAUUUGCCUCGAUUUAGCAAUUCGAUUUUCUUUUUCUUUCUCUUUCAUUUUGCUCGGAAUUUUUUUUUCCCUGGGGAUAGGGUUAUCUGUAAUUUCAUUUCAUUUCAAAAUGAUGAGACGACAAGAACAGCAGUCGAGGGUUUUCUACGAGCUAUCUACUCUCAUUUUUAACCUCCUCCGAUCUCCUCCUACGCCGAUUUCUUUUUCCGAUGACUCGCCGGUGAUGCCAACACCGCCGCCGGCGGUAUCUUCCUCGAGGAGGCGGCCGCCGCCGUCGGCGCCUCCACAGAUCACGCCGGCGGGUUUUGCGUCGUUGCUUUUGGGGAUAUCGCUGGCUCUAAUGCUAUGUGGAUCGGUCACUUUCUUUAUUGGAUUCAUGUUGAUGCCAUGGGUUCUUGGUUUGGUGAUUGUUUUCUACCUGGUUGGGAUUGUAUCGAGUUUAUCGAUGCUGGGACGAGCAAUUCUUUGUUAUACCACGGCACCCCCCUCGCCGAGGAAGGAAGUUCCAGUGCAUAAAAAGUGGUUCUGAGGUUCCCUUCCCCCAACCCCCGGCACAAAGCGGAACAAAGAAAAAGGAAAAGAAAAGAAUAUUUCAAUGAGCACUUUUCUCUACAUAUACACAGAAAGUGAACAUACUGUGUUUUUUUUAAGAAAUUUGGUCUGAUUAACUCCUUACACUUUCAACUUGGAAUGGUGCAGCGUGGAAAUUUUUGUGAAUGUGUUGAGGGGUGGUUGGAUUACCCAUGGGUGGAGGACCAAGCAGCACUAGUGCUCUUUGUAUAAUGAAUUGUCCAAGCUCCUAAAAGGAUUGAUACAGGAACUAUGGAUGGAUUACAGUUUCUUAAAUUAUUACUGGAACACGUGGAACUUUUUAUAGUUAAUCGAGUAUAAUAGAACUGUUGAAGGUCUCCAAGAAAAGUAAUGUUCCUAUUAGUGAUUACACUUUUAAGAAACAGAAACACACUGUUCUCUGUUUCUACUCCUAUUUUACCUCCCCCCUUCAAUAUGUUAUUGUUUUUGUGCUAAUGGGGAUAUGUAAAACUUAACUAGGCAUUGUAUGUAUAUGUUGUUUGAUCUGAGUAUUUUCUACUUGCUUAGAUUGUUUGAUCCGAGUUCAUUUCGUAAUAAAAAUGCAAGAAAAGAGAAUUCCUUUAUUUACAUUA